ACUAAGAUUUACAUGGACCAGAGCCCAGUCUGUAUCCUGCUGAAGGAAAUUUUUAAAAAUGCUUUGAUGGACUUAACUAUUAAUGAGAAAACUUCACUAACAAACAUUGCAGAACGUGGGGACUAGUGUAGCUGUUACCUCCCUUUCCCCAAGGGAAUAUAAAAGCAGCAAGAAGAAUAGGCAGCUCCAGGUCUUCAUUCGGUCUUCAUUCCCCAUGGAAAGAUUACAAGUAGAGACUGACUAAAGAAAACUUUAUGGGAACUCUGGAAGGCAAAGGUCUACAAGAACCAAACUAAUGCCCAAUCAAGGAAAAGUCACAUUCAAAAUGAAAUAAGAUGGUUCCAGAUACUUGAUUCACCCAGAUGCUUUAAAGACUGUGGACCUAAGUAGGCUUCCAUUGUGACUUCUGGCAGUGACUCUUCUCGUGAAACAACACUCACUGGGUAGGAGUUAAAUGUUCUUAUGGACUUACCAGAAAAUAUUCAUAAAUGUUUAUCUGGUACAUUUUUAAAUGUGUUAAAUACUUUUUCCAUAUAGAUAUGAUUGCUCUUCAUAUCAAUAACUAGAAAUAUUUAACCAGGAAAAGUUGAGCUCACUUAGAGCCACCAAUUUAAUUAAUAGAACUGUUGAAUCCCUGAAAAUAAAACACAGACACAGAUAUAUAUUCAAUCGAAAUAUAUUUGUCUAAUAUCUACAAAGUGUGAACAACUGGUCUUAAGAAAGCAGACAAAAGGCACAAAAUUAGUAUUACUACAGAGAAGCAUUCAUGCUAUUUGGAUUUUAUAAAUAUUGGAGUGGCACAGUAAAAAAUAAAUUAAGCAUUCAG
Pan troglodytes (chimpanzee) is the source of this 826-nucleotide long non-coding RNA. RefSeq lists it as uncharacterized. Lineage: Eukaryota; Metazoa; Chordata; Mammalia; Primates; Hominidae. The record is from RefSeq and is a predicted model, not a curated record. The transcript has 3 exons.